GUUUCACACUCAAAGAGCCAAUGUACCUACAAUAAUUUACUGCGACAUUUGUCGUCUUGAUGCCAACAGAUGCUUCAGAAUGUUCAGAACUAUUCAUUCCUGGCUACACUCAAGGACACCUACACCACCCGAUGUCACAGGAAGGCCAAAACGAUCAUCAAGGACUUCAACCACCCGAGCCACUGCCUGUUCACCCCGCUAUCAUCCAGAAGGCGAGGGGGAUGACAUUGAAAUUGUAGCCAGCUCUGCAAUGCUUGUUUGAAAAAGAGAGACCACAACAACUGUUCUUAAACUAUGAACAAUGUACCUGGGAAUGAAGGAAGUCUUUUUGUUG
This is a long non-coding RNA of Oncorhynchus tshawytscha (Chinook salmon), 334 nucleotides long. NCBI's taxonomy places the organism in Eukaryota, Metazoa, Chordata, Actinopteri, Salmoniformes, Salmonidae. The record is from Ensembl.